This 1214-nucleotide long non-coding RNA is filed under the name Homo sapiens (human). Its description in RNAcentral is "HSALNT0358994". Lineage: Eukaryota; Metazoa; Chordata; Mammalia; Primates; Hominidae. The record is from RNAcentral.
CAAGGCCCUGUCUCUAAAAAAAAAAUUUUAAUGAAAGAACAAAGGCAAGCAGCCUCCUAGGUGCUGAGUUGCUUUAUUCUUACCUAGGGAGAAGGCUACCAUUUACUGAGCCCUAUUCUUUGCCAGCCACAAUGCAUAUUUCCCUGCAUUGUAAUUUACAUUGUUAUUUACAUUGUCAUUGAUGUCUUGUCUCCUUAACAGAGCUGCAUCAUCCUACCACUUCUCUGAUAAGAAUCUUAAGGAAUACUGUACAAUGGUAAAUGACUUGCCUAAAGUUACCCAGCUGAUUAAUGUGACAGAGCCAGAGUUUUAAACCAAAACUAUCUUUCUCCAAAGGUUCCAGGCAUGAAGCAUGUGCUGUCCUGGGCCCUGAAUAUCAAGCCAGGUAGAGGAACCCCAUCCUUCUGUUGUCAUUUCAAGCUAGAGGCUCAAGCCUGGAGGAGUGAGGAUCAAGAUCGAGAACUCAAAGCUGUUUAGAGGAAGAAGCCAAGUUCAAGGAGGAGUGAGGAACGCUUGAGGCGAAACCUUUUGGAAGCUCAGGAAGCUUGGAGGAUUUCGUGGAUUACAGAAUGUUGAAGUUGGAGAACUGUAGAGGGGCCUAAAAAAUGUUCCAGAAUCAAGACGGUGCCUGAUGCCCUACCUAGCCCCUCUCCAGCACACAGGAGCCCCGGGCCCUUGGCAAUCAUGUCUGCGCAGCUUGGACCCCAUAUCCAAAAGGGGAGCACGCCCCAAUUUACUCUCACCCCACCAGGUUAAUCCAUGAGAAGAGCUUGGAACAGCGCCCGGCAGUGUCUCAGCGCACCCAAAGUGUGUGCAGACAUGCUCACUCUAGAAGAAACUAGUUGCCAUGUUGUGAGGAUACUCAACAGUCCUGUGGAGGGGGCCACAUGUAGAAAGACCGCAUGUGGAAAGAAACUGACUUGCUAGCAGCAACUUUACAGGUAUGUAUGAAAUAAACCACCUUGGAAGAAGAUCCUCCAGCCUCUCAGUCAAGACUUAAGAGAAUUUCAGCCUUCAAUCAUUUAAUCUGCCAGCCAGGACCCCAGACACUGCAGAACAGAGACAAACAUUCCUGCUGUGCCCUCUCUGAAUUCUUGACCCACAGGAACUGUGAGACAGUGAAAGAUUAUUGCCAUUUUGACCUUCUAAGUUUUGGUGUAAUUUCUUUCUUUUUUUUUUUUUAAUUGAAACAGAGUCUCGCUCUGUUGCCCAGG